CCGGCACUGACGCGAAAUUCCCGGUAUAAACGUCAUUCGUUGGCAAUAAAUUCGUCGGAUAAGUUUCGAGACUGCUACCUGCGUGUCUGCCAAGCCCCGGCAUUGUGUAUUACCAAGUGCAUUCAAUGUCAUUCAUAUGUCAUGCGAAUUAAAGACUCUUCACGAACGUCCGUUCCGAACAAAAAAGGAAUCGCUAAAUUAACUGUCGCAUUAGCCGUAUUUAUGACUUAAUUGUCAAAGUCGAGACGCGUUCCUUUUCAUUUUCCGCGAUGGAAAUGGAGGAGCACACCCGUGUUGCGCCCGAUGCGUGCUUCGCCCACCGAUCCAAGCUGAAUCCCCAGCUGAGAAGACAAAUGCGAUAUUAUCGUUUUUUAUACGAGCCUCAAGUUCGUAUAUUUCAUAAUGUUUUUGCUAUUCUUGACGAGCCCUUUCUCGCACGCAUUUCACGAGGCGGACAACACGCGAACGCUUACGACAUUUCCUUCCACUCACCACGGCGGGGGCUCACUUUUCACCUGUCAAGAUCGAUACCAAGGACGCGAUACGACGGGGACCCAAACGGACGCGCGUGGGACGACAACUAAUAAGCCCCAAAGAGGCUUGGCAAAAGGAGCCAUCGAGACAGACAGGAGGUUUUGAUAAAUUGGAGACACCCAUUCCCAUUGUCAAAAACAACGCUGCUUAACAGUACGACAUUUUGACAAAUUACUACAAACCAAUUUCAUACAACUAUGGAAAAAUGUCCAUCAUAUUAUGUUCCUGACACUUUUGGCGUAGUGCUACGAGGGUGGGUUGGUAAAUCUACACAUUUGGAUCAUAGUCUCCUUCUCUCCUAGAGAAUGUACUUCUAAAAUUUGCUCACCAUUUGCUUCAAAUCUCUCUCGAACAAAGGGUUUGAACUUAUAAGGGACCUUAUGGUUGAAUGUCGGAAGAUGUCUUUCUACAACAAGGUAUAUAGGGUGUCCGUUUUUCGAGCUCCACCAUGAGCUCGAUUAAAUUAAGACAAUUAAUUAGCGCAUUUUCAUGCUGAAUAAUUAUCUGAAGGACAUCUGACGUGUCAUUUUUAGUUUGUAGAUUAUUGAAAGAAACAGAAAUUUGUAAUUUUUUUAACUAGGAUUUUCUUCAGGCACUUUUUAUAAGGAAUCUAAAUUUGUCCUCGUUUUUUCCACCACGUUCUUGAUGUCCCAGUUACAAAACUUAACUUUGGUUUUCCGUAUGAAUGCCAUAUUCGCUUUUUGUAUUUUUGAAAAAUGUUUUUAUUCCUGAUUACAAACGAUAUAUCACAUGAUAUGAUCUAAUCUUAAGAUGGAGAAAAAGCAUUUUUGCGAAGAGUGCUUUGGAAGAAACACCAACAAUUUUUUUUAAGCAAAUUAGAUUUUGGAGGUUUAAUCGGAUAUGGAUCUGGAAGGUUCACAUUUCCGCUAAGCUUACUUAUUUAAAAACUAAAAGUAAUGAUAGCAAGAAGUUUAUUCUUCGCAAAACAAAACAAGUCAAGCUGUUAAGUUUUCAGUUUACGUUUAUAUUUUGUGGGCAUUCUAAUUGACUGGCACAAAAAUUGGAACAUCCUAAGAAUUCUCUAGAGUUUGUUGAAAAAAAAAUGAUUUUCAAGAUAAUACAAACGUAAAUACGGACUUUUCUGAUCUGGAAUUUGUUUCAUGUACAAUAUUUUUGUUGUCAUUUUUCUAUGAUGUCAUAUUUCAAAAAUAUCCAAUUUCAGUAAAUUUGACUUUAUUGUAGAGAUUUCCUGUUUGAUUUUUAAUGUACCUGUAUUAUAACUUCAUUGAAUGCUGGAUUCAGUACCAGAUGAUAAAUUGUAAGAAAAUUGAAAAUUUUUUCGCUCCAGUGUUUACAGAACGUUUACUACUCGUGUCCUAGAGAUUAGUGAAUUUUGAAAAAGGACCGGAUCAGGCUGAUAACGCAAUGUAUGGAUACACUUCAGAUUAGAAAUGGACUACAAGAAAUAUGAUAGGCUAACUGAAGCGAAAGAACAAUAAAAAGACGACUAACAGAAGUUCCAAAUCUGCAAACGGUCCAGGGUUUCUCAGAAACCACUGCAUAGUUAGACUUAAUGGUGCUAUUCUCUAACUUUUGUUACCAUGUUAUUGCGCUAUUACUGUAAAAAUUACAGCUGUUAUUUAAAUUCGUAUUCCGUAAACUCUAUCACCCUCUAUUAGCAACAUUUCUACAGUAACAGUGACAGUGACAGAUCCUAAAUUUUUACGAUGUUUUACCAAAUUAACACGAAAUUGCAUUAAAAAUGUGAUAAGUGGAUAACACUAGAAGUUUAGAAUCACGCAAACAAUUCGACCUUUGGUUUCUGAAGUAUUGGAAAACGAAGAAAGGGGAUAAGACUGAUCUUAGAAAAAAAUCAACUGGUAUAAUUAUCCAUAAAGGUAAUCUUUGGCAAUCCUAAGUGGGAAUGAGCACAACUUAAAAUUCGUCAGGAACCAAAAUUUGUAUAAAUAAAAAAUUUAACACUGUGUACUCUUCAUUUUGGAAACAUUAUUUCGUGAAAAU
Molecule: long non-coding RNA, 2517 nt
Organism: Tribolium castaneum (red flour beetle)
Lineage: Eukaryota; Metazoa; Arthropoda; Insecta; Coleoptera; Tenebrionidae
Exons: 3
Source: RefSeq, a predicted model, not a curated record